This 423-nucleotide ribosomal RNA is filed under the name uncultured bacterium. RNAcentral's name for it is "partial 16S ribosomal RNA". It matches the Rfam family "Bacterial small subunit ribosomal RNA", at positions 359 to 774 of the family's 1533-position model. The record is from RNAcentral.
GAAUAUUGGACAAUGGGCGCAAGCCUGAUCCAGCCUUACCGCGUGGGUGAAGAAGGCCUUCGGGUUGUAAAGCCCUUUUGUUGGGAAAGAAAAGCAGUCGAUUAAUACUCGGUUGUUCUGACGGUACCCAAAGAAUAAGCACCGUCUAACUUCGUGCCAGCAGCCGCGGUAAUAAGAAGGGUGCAAGCGUUACUCGGAAGUACUGGGGGUAAAGCGUGCGUAGGUGGUUGUUUAAGUCUGUUGUGAAAGACCUGGGCUCAACCUGGGAAUUGCAGUGGAUACUGGGCGACUAGAGUGUGGUAGAGGGUAGUGGAAUUACCGGUGUAGCAGUGAAAUGCGUAGAGAUCGGGAGGAACAUCCAUGGCGAAGGCAGCUACCUGGACCAACACUGACACUGAGGCACGAAAGCGUGGGGAGCAAACA